AACGAACGCUGGCGGCAUGCCUAACACAUGCAAGUCGAACGAGACCUUCGGGUCUAGUGGCGCACGGGUGCGUAACGCGUGGGAAUCUGCCCUUAGGUUCGGAAUAACUUCGGGAAACUGAAGCUAAUACCGGAUGAUGACGUAAGUCCAAAGAUUUAUCGCCUAAGGAUGAGCCCGCGUUGGAUUAGCUAGUUGGUGAGGUAAAGGCUCACCAAGGCGACGAUCCAUAGCUGGUCUGAGAGGAUGAUCAGCCACACUGGGACUGAGACACGGCCCAGACUCCUACGGGAGGCAGCAGUGGGGAAUAUUGGACAAUGGGCGAAAGCCUGAUCCAGCAAUGCCGCGUGAGUGAUGAAGGCCUUAGGGUUGGUAAAGACUCUUUUACCCGGGUAUGAUAAUGACAGUACCGGGAGAAUAAGACCCGGCCUAACU
RNAcentral lists this ribosomal RNA (432 nucleotides) under uncultured bacterium. Its description in RNAcentral is "bacterial SSU rRNA". It matches the Rfam family "Bacterial small subunit ribosomal RNA", at positions 29 to 502 of the family's 1533-position model. The record is from RNAcentral.